This 1032-nucleotide long non-coding RNA is filed under the name Bos indicus x Bos taurus (hybrid cattle). RNAcentral describes it as "lncRNA (ENSBIXG00005011933.1)". The record is from RNAcentral. Lineage: Eukaryota; Metazoa; Chordata; Mammalia; Artiodactyla; Bovidae.
GCACGAUGAGCUGAUGCAAAAUGCAAUCUAAUGGCAGAGUUUGUCUGGGAAAGGCUUCCUUGCUAAGCAAAGGAUACAGACAGAAAAGCUCUCCUCGUGCUUUAUAUGGGCCCGUUGUUGUCUUUGAAUAUGGCCUUUUGAAUUUGGUCACAGCGUUGGAAGCAUAAAGGGAUCCAGGGUGACCACCUGCUUCACAGUGAGCAGGGAUAAGCCGAAGCAUGGGAAUUUCAAAAUGUCACUUUACGGUGUCUGUGACCCAGUACACAGAACAGGACUUGAGGUGCCCUACCCACACACUGUGUGUUGAUGAGAUUUUCACUAUUUUUCACUUUAUAAUGUUGAGUCCCUCUUAGGAUGAGAUGAAGUAUAUUGACACGUCCUCCCUGUGCGGGGGUUUGUUUUACUAGUCCCUGUGGUCAUCAGGGAGGCAAGGACGAGCUGCCAGCUCAGUAUGGGGACCCUCCUAGGGAAUGUCACAGCACCUUCUUGCAACUCCUUAGGUGUCUCCACCUGGUGCCAUCAACCCAUGGCAGAAACUGCCAGUUCCUGUGAUGGCCAGUGGAAGGAGCGACCCCACUGCUGCUUCUACCUGCUACAGAUUCAACUGUGACGACUGACUUCCUUCACUACAACUUCUCUGAGCAGAACACACCUAAAUAUGAAAUGAAGUGUGUGCCUGUGGAGGACCUGCCUUGCAGCCAAGAAACUGGAGUCCAGUGGAAGGAAAGGGUUGCUCCAGAGGCAACACCAAGCAGGACUUUAACUUCCCCUGCGGGGAAGCACGCUGCCAUAUCACAGAGGCUUUGCAACCAGCCCCCACCCGUUAUGUCUCCACCAGUCUGACUCUGUUUAUCAGAUAUAAGGAAUCAGAAGGCACGCCAAAGCACAGGAAGUGUUUUUAGUGGCUGUAAGACAGCACUGGAGACGACCCAGCUGCCAUGGUGCUCUGGAGACAACUGGGAAUGAAAGUCUGUCUGGCUCCACCUGUGUCCAGGUCUAUGCUCUUCUGCUCGUGUGUGUGUAAACUGUGGA